UCGAGAAUCUUCGGCAAUGGGCGCAAGCCUGACCGAGCGACGCCGCGUGCGGGAUGAAGGCCUUCGGGUUGUAAACCGCUGUCGUAGGGGAGGAAGGCUCCGUGCAGAACGGAGUUUGACCGAUCCUAGGAGGAAGGGCCGGCUAAUCUCGUGCCAGCAGCCGCGGUAAUACGAGAGGCCCAAACGUUAUUCGGAAUUACUGGGCUUAAAGAGUUCGUAGGCGGCGCAGAAAGUAGGGUGUGAAAGCCCUCGGCUUAACCGAGGAAUUGCGCUCUAAACUACUGUGCUUGAGGGACCUAGAGGUGAGCGGAACUGAUGGUGGAGCGGUGAAAUGCGUUGAUAUCAUCAGGAACACCGGAGGCGAAGGCGGCUCACUGGGGGUCUUCUGACGCUGAGGAACGAAAGCCAGGGGAGCGAACGGGAUUAGAUACCCCGGUAGUCC
This 442-nucleotide ribosomal RNA is filed under the name uncultured bacterium. RNAcentral describes it as "bacterial SSU rRNA". It matches the Rfam family "Bacterial small subunit ribosomal RNA", at positions 355 to 796 of the family's 1533-position model. The record is from RNAcentral.